UUCAAUUUUGUGAGCUUGAAGGCCUGUGGACUUCAACUCCCAGAAUCCCCCAGCCAGCAUAACUAAUUAGGGAAUUCUGGGAACUGAAGUCCCCAAGUCUUCAAGCUGCCAAGCUUUGAGAAACACUGUCAUGAAGGAUUGAGUGACAUUAUUCCAGUCCACUGUUAACCAAGUCAAUGAAGAUCUGGCAGAUGCAUUCCCACAGCAUGCUAAGCAAGGAUACAACCGAUUACGUCGCUUAUGUUGCCAAGGAUCCCAUCAACCAGCGAGCUUGCCACAUCUUGGAAUGCUGUGACGGAUUGGCGCAAAGCAUCAUCAACACCGUCGGGCAGGCCUUUGAGCUCCGCUUUAAGCAGUACUUGCACAGCCCUCCCCAAACUGUAGCAUCCCAG
Non-coding RNA from Pantherophis guttatus, 392 nucleotides. The record is from RefSeq and is a predicted model, not a curated record. Lineage: Eukaryota; Metazoa; Chordata; Lepidosauria; Squamata; Colubridae.